This 917-nucleotide long non-coding RNA is filed under the name Rattus norvegicus (Norway rat). RNAcentral describes it as "long non-coding RNA NONRATT003732". Lineage: Eukaryota; Metazoa; Chordata; Mammalia; Rodentia; Muridae. The record is from RNAcentral.
ACUGAAAAGCAAAAUUGGGUGGGUAAGAUAACUCAACUAGUAAGUAAGCUACCGCCAGGAAAGCAUGAAGACCUAAAUUCAAUAAUCCCUAGAACCCAAGUAAUAAACCAGGAAUGGUGGUUAUUGUUUUCAACUAUACUACCUAUACAUAGUUUUGAUUUUGUUGUUAGGAUUUGUUUUUUGAAGACAGUGUUUCAUAGCAAAACCCUGAAUGGCCUGGACAGAACUCACUAUGUAGACCUGGCUGCCCACAAACUCAAUAGAAAUCCACCUGCCUUUGCUUUCUCAGUGCUGGGAUUAAAGGUGUGCACCACCCUGACUAGCAUUCUUUUUAAUAGCUACGUGUUCAUACCUGUUGGAUUACUUCCUUUUGUACCUCACUGAAUACUUUGUAGAAUAGAAUAUGGAAUUAAUCUUCUGUCAAGUUGUGAUUUUUACCACAUUUAUGUUUGUCUUUUGACUAUGGUACAUUUCUUACUAUUAGAAAACUAAAAGUAGGGGCUCGUGAGAUAGCUCAGCACUGACUGCUCUUCCAGAGGUCCUGAGUUUAAUUCCCAACAUUCACAUAGCCAUCUGUAACAGGAUCUGAUGCCCUCUGCUGGUGUGUCUGAAGAAAGUGACAGUGUAUUCAUAUAAAUAAAUAAAUCUUUAAAAAAAAGAAAAAGAAAACUAAUAGAAUUUGAUCAUUUUAAAGGGGAAAGGUGGGCUGGAGAUACGGUUUGUGGUUAAGAGCACAUGCCGCUUCUGCAGUGGACCUCACUUCAUCAGGUUCCUAUCACAUCACAGUGGCCCAAAAUGCCUUAACUCCAAUUCCAAAGGAUCCACAACCUGCUUCUGGGCUCCACGAGUAACUGCACACACAAACAUAUAUGCAGGCAAAACAUCCAUUCAUAUAAAUAUAAACUUAAAAAAAGAAU